Molecule: long non-coding RNA, 657 nt
Filed under: Pan troglodytes (chimpanzee)
Lineage: Eukaryota; Metazoa; Chordata; Mammalia; Primates; Hominidae
Description: lincRNA
Source: RNAcentral
UUCUCAGGGCCUUCUGCCAAGGGCCCGCUUUGAUCUCCCUUAAAGGACAGCAUUAUCUGACCAGAGACCCAUGCAGGAGACCUCUCCAGGUACACAUAUUUCCUGCUGCUCAAUGGCUUAGACUGGGAUUUGCAAGGAAGUACGAAGUCCAAGACCUUUGCCUUUCUUUUAGAAGAAGGCACCAGCUGGUUCUCCAAUGUUGAAGGUCUUCUCCAGAGAUCGGCAUGCAGAAGGAGCGAAAAAACAAGAAGGAAGACAAGGAAGACAUUGUUUUGGCUGCUGACAUUUCCUGAAAGAUCUGAGGAUUCCCCUUCACUUCAGGCGUGGGACCCAGAUGGCUGAGUGAUGGACCUUAAGGUAUGGGGAGAUUACAACUUGCUCAAGGUCUCAUAGCUAGAAGAUGUCAGAGUGAUAACUCAAACCAUGUCACGUGACUCUAAGCCCAAAGCGGCCUCUAGAAGGUUGUUUGAUCUUCUGAUGGAAGCACAAAUCACCAUUCCAACAUGAAAGAUGGAGAAACUUAAGUCUAGAAAGAUUUAAAGGACUUGUCAAAGGCAAUGAAACAAGUGAUGAGGAAACUGAGGCCCAGAGAGGAUAAAUGACUUGCUCAAGGUUAGCCAGUUGGUCAAUGGCAAAGAUUAAACCAGAACCCAGAUC